Molecule: ribosomal RNA, 484 nt
Filed under: uncultured bacterium
Lineage: Bacteria
Description: partial 16S ribosomal RNA
Rfam family: Bacterial small subunit ribosomal RNA
Source: RNAcentral
AUUGAACGCUGGCGGCAGGCCUAACACAUGCAAGUCGAGCGGAUGAAGGGAGCUUGCUCCUGGAUUCAGCGGCGGACGGGUGAGUAAUGCCUAGGAAUCUGCCUGGUAGUGGGGGAUAACGUCCGGAAACGGGCGCUAAUACCGCAUACGUCCUGAGGGAGAAAGUGGGGGAUCUUCGGACCUCACGCUAUCAGAUGAGCCUAGGUCGGAUUAGCUAGCUGGUGGGGUAAAGGCCUACCAAGGCGACGAUCCGUAACUGGUCUGAGAGGUUGAUCAGUCACACUGGAACUGAGACACGGUCCAGACUCCUACGGGAGGCAGCAGUGGGGAAUAUUGGACAAUGGGCGAAAGCCUUAUCCAGCCAUGCCGCGUGUGUUAAGAAGGUCUUCGGAUUGUAAAGCACUUUAAGUUGGGAGGAAGGGCAGUAAGUUAAUACCUUGCUGUUUUGACGUUACCAACAGAAUAAGCACCGGCUAACUUCGUG